This 1351-nucleotide ribosomal RNA is filed under the name Salmonella enterica subsp. enterica serovar Enteritidis. RNAcentral's name for it is "partial 23S ribosomal RNA". It matches the Rfam family "Bacterial large subunit ribosomal RNA", at positions 1538 to 2863 of the family's 2925-position model. The record is from RNAcentral. Lineage: Bacteria; Pseudomonadati; Pseudomonadota; Gammaproteobacteria; Enterobacterales; Enterobacteriaceae.
AAAUCCGGUUCACUUUAACACUGAGGCGUGACGACGAGGCACUACGGUGCUGAAGCAACAAAUGCCCUGCUUCCAGGAAAAGCCUCUAAGCAUCAGGUAACAUCAAAUCGUACCCCAAACCGACACAGGUGGUCAGGUAGAGAAUACCAAGGCGCUUGAGAGAACUCGGGUGAAGGAACUAGGCAAAAUGGUGCCGUAACUUCGGGAGAAGGCACGCUGACACGUAGGUGAAGUGAUUUACUCAUGGAGCUGAAGUCAGUCGAAGAUACCAGCUGGCUGCAACUGUUUAUUAAAAACACAGCACUGUGCAAACACGAAAGUGGACGUAUACGGUGUGACGCCUGCCCGGUGCCGGAAGGUUAAUUGAUGGGGUCAGCGCAAGCGAAGCUCCUGAUCGAAGCCCCGGUAAACGGCGGCCGUAACUAUAACGGUCCUAAGGUAGCGAAAUUCCUUGUCGGGUAAGUUCCGACCUGCACGAAUGGCGUAAUGAUGGCCAGGCUGUCUCCACCCGAGACUCAGUGAAAUUGAACUCGCUGUGAAGAUGCAGUGUACCCGCGGCAAGACGGAAAGACCCCGUGAACCUUUACUAUAGCUUGACACUGAACAUUGAGCCUUGAUGUGUAGGAUAGGUGGGAGGCUUUGAAGUGUGGACGCCAGUCUGCAUGGAGCCGACCUUGAAAUACCACCCUUUAAUGUUUGAUGUUCUAACGUGGACCCGUUACCCGGGUUGCGGACAGUGUCUGGUGGGUAGUUUGACUGGGGCGGUCUCCUCCUAAAGAGUAACGGAGGAGCACGAAGGUUGGCUAAUCCUGGUCGGACAUCAGGAGGUUAGUGCAAUGGCAUAAGCCAGCUUGACUGCGAGCGUGACGGCGCGAGCAGGUGCGAAAGCAGGUCAUAGUGAUCCGGUGGUUCUGAAUGGAAGGGCCAUCGCUCAACGGAUAAAAGGUACUCCGGGGAUAACAGGCUGAUACCGCCCAAGAGUUCAUAUCGACGGCGGUGUUUGGCACCUCGAUGUCGGCUCAUCACAUCCUGGGGCUGAAGUAGGUCCCAAGGGUAUGGCUGUUCGCCAUUUAAAGUGGUACGCGAGCUGGGUUUAGAACGUCGUGAGACAGUUCGGUCCCUAUCUGCCGUGGGCGCUGGAGAACUGAGGGGGGCUGCUCCUAGUACGAGAGGACCGGAGUGGACGCAUCACUGGUGUUCGGGUUGUCAUGCCAAUGGCACUGCCCGGUAGCUAAAUGCGGAAGAGAUAAGUGCUGAAAGCAUCUAAGCACGAAACUUGCCCCGAGAUGAGUUCUCCCUGAGACUUAGAGUCUCCUGAAGGAACGUUGAAGACGACGACGUUGAUAGGCCG